AUUUGAUGAUGUGGGCAGCUUGCACACAACUUCUUGAAGCAUUCCCAAUAUUCAUACAAGGUCUUUCCAUUAUACUACCGAAUACAACAUAUUUCUUUCCUCAUGCU
Small nucleolar RNA from Diospyros lotus (date-plum), 107 nucleotides. NCBI's taxonomy places the organism in Eukaryota, Viridiplantae, Streptophyta, Magnoliopsida, Ericales, Ebenaceae. The record is from RefSeq and is a predicted model, not a curated record.